This 855-nucleotide ribosomal RNA is filed under the name Triticum aestivum (bread wheat). RNAcentral describes it as "partial small subunit ribosomal RNA". Lineage: Eukaryota; Viridiplantae; Streptophyta; Magnoliopsida; Poales; Poaceae. The record is from RNAcentral.
AUGUUUGAUACUAAAUCUUUGUAUGAUGAGCAUGAUUGCAAUGUUGUUAGUAUGUAUUCCUUGAAUAUCCAUGAUACUAAUGAUAUGCAAAGCCACAAGCUUGGGGAAGCUAUGUUUGAUGAAGAUGAUAUUUUUUGUCCCCCAAGUUUUGAUGAGAAAAUUUAUUAUGAUGAUAGCAUGCCUCCUAUUUAUGAUGAUUAUAUUGAUGAAAGUGGGUUUGGAAGAGUGUCAACUUUAGGAAGUAGUGAUCCCACUAUUUUGGAGGGUGUUGAAUUUUAUUGUGGUGAAUAUGAAAGUGGAUUUGGAAGAGUGUCAACUUUAUUUAGUGAUGAUUCCACUAUUUCGGAAGAGGUUCCAAUUGAUUAUGAGAACAAUGUUUCUAUCUAUGAUGAUUAUUGUGAUGACUUGUAUGCUAUUAAGAGUAAUGAUAACUAUGAAACUUGUCAUCAUGAUUUUAGUUUUCAAUUGGAUUAUGCCUCACAUGAUAAUUAUUUUGUUGAGUUUGCUCCCACUACUAUUCAUGAGAAGAAAUUUGCUUAUGUGGAGAGUAAUAAAAAUUCUAUGCUUGUAGAUCAUGAAAAGAACGCUUUAGGUGCUGGUUAUAUUGUCAAAUUAAUUCAUGAUGCUACUGAAAAUUAUUAUGAGGGAGGAACAUAUGCUUGUAGGAAUUGCAAUAAUAUCAAGUUUCCUCUAUAUGUGUUGAAAAUCUUGAAGUUAUGCUUGUUUAGCCUUCCUAUGCUAAUUGAUUAUUGUUCCCAUAAGUUGUUUGCUCACAAAAUCCCUAUGCAUAGGAAGUGGGUUAGGCUUAAAUUUGCUAUUCAUAUGCUUCAUGAUGCUCCCAUUAUGUUUAUGUGA